UACGGGGGGAGCAAGCGUUGUUCGGAUUUACUGGGCGUAAAGAGCUCGUAGGCGGUCUGUCGCGUCUGCUGUGAAAACUCGGGGCUUAACCCCGGGCCUGCAGUGGGUACGGGCAGACUAGAGUGCGGUAGGGGAGACUGGAAUUCCUGGUGUAGCGGUGAAAUGCGCAGAUAUCAGGAGGAACACCGGUGGCGAAGGCGGGUCUCUGGGCCGUAACUGACGCUGAGGAGCGAAAGCGUGGGGAGCGAACAGG
RNAcentral lists this ribosomal RNA (253 nucleotides) under uncultured bacterium. Its description in RNAcentral is "partial 16S ribosomal RNA". It matches the Rfam family "Bacterial small subunit ribosomal RNA", at positions 524 to 776 of the family's 1533-position model. The record is from RNAcentral.